UUACGGAGUAGCAAUAUUCUGUGGCAGGAGUGGCGGAAGGGUGCGUAACAUGUGGGUAAUCUGCCGUGAAGGCUGGGAUAACUUGCUGAAAGGCGAGCUAAUACCGGAUGAGACAACCGAGAGGCAGCUUUUGGUUAUGAAAGUUGGGGACUGUCAAAGGCCUGACGCUUCACGAUGAGCCCGCAACCUAUCAGCUAGUUGGUGAGGUAAAGGCUCACCAAGGCUAAGACGGGUAGCUGGUCUGAGAGGACGACCAGCCACACUGGAACUGAGAGACGGUCCAGACACCUACGGGUGGCAGCAGUCGAGAAUUUUUCACAAUGGGCGCAAGCCUGAUGGAGCGACGCCGCGUGGGGGAUGAAGGGCUUCGGUCCGUAAACCCCUGUCAUUUGCGAACAAAGCUGCUGGCCUAAUACGCUAGCAGUUGAUAGUAGCAAAAGAGGAAGGGACGGCUAACUCUGUGCCAGCAGCCGCGGUAAUACAGAGGUCCCAAGCGUUGUUCGGAUUUACUGGGCGUAAAGGGUGCGUAGGUGGCGGGGUAAGUCUGGUGUGAAAUCUCCGAGCUCAACUCGGAAAAGCAUUGGAAACUAUCCCGCUAGAGGGUCGGAGGGGAGACUGGAAUUCUCGGUGUAGCAGUGAAAUGCGUAGAUAUCGAGAGGAACACCAGUGGCGAAGGCGAGUCUCUGGACGACUCCUGACACUGAGGCACGAAAGCUAGGGGAGCAAACAGGAUUAGAUACCCUGGUAGUCCUAGCUGUAAACGGUGCACAUUUGCUGUAAGAGGAAUCGACCCCUUUUGUGGCGAAGCUAACGCGUUAAAUGUG
This 824-nucleotide ribosomal RNA is filed under the name uncultured Verrucomicrobiota bacterium. RNAcentral describes it as "bacterial SSU rRNA". It matches the Rfam family "Bacterial small subunit ribosomal RNA", at positions 69 to 868 of the family's 1533-position model. The record is from RNAcentral. Lineage: Bacteria; Pseudomonadati; Verrucomicrobiota.